RNAcentral lists this ribosomal RNA (1745 nucleotides) under Bacillus cereus. Its description in RNAcentral is "bacterial SSU rRNA". The stretch from base 21 to 1061 matches the Rfam family "Bacterial small subunit ribosomal RNA". The record is from RNAcentral. Lineage: Bacteria; Bacillati; Bacillota; Bacilli; Caryophanales; Bacillaceae.
UGCUGGGGGGGGGGGGCGCGAGGUGGGAUGGGCACGAUGCGGGCGUGAGGGAUGACCCUUCGGUUGUAACCUUUCAGCGGAGGAAAGUGACGGUACCUGCAAGAAGCGCCGCUAAUACGUGCCAGCAGCGCGGUAAUACGUAGGGCGCGAGCGUUCCGGAAUUAUGGGCGUAAAGAGCUUGUAGGCGGUUUGUCGCGUCUGCUGUGAAAGCCCGGGGCUUAACCCCGGGUUUGCAGUGGGUACGGGCAGACUAGAGUGCAGUAGGGGAGACUGGAAUUCCUGGUGUAGCGGUGAAAUGCGCAGAUAUCAGGAGGAACACCAAUGGCGAAGGCAGGUCUCUGGGCUGUAACUGACGCUGAGAAGCGAAAGCAUGGGGAGCGAACAGGAUUAGAUACCCUGGUAGUCCAUGCCGUAAACGUUGGGCACUAGGUGUGGGGAACAUUCCACGUUUUCCGCGCCGUAGCUAACGCAUUAAGUGCCCCGCCUGGGGAGUACGGCCGCAAGGCUAAAACUCAAAGAAAUUGACGGGGGCCCGCACAAGCGGCGGAGCAUGCGGAUUAAUUCGAUGCAACGCGAAGAACCUUACCAAGGCUUGACAUAUACUAGACCGCCUCAGAGAUGGGGUUUCCCUUCGGGGCUGGUAUACAGGUGGUGCAUGGUUGUCGUCAGCUCGUGUCGUGAGAUGUUGGGUUAAGUCCCGCAACGAGCGCAACCCUCGUUCUAUGUUGCCAGCACGUAAUGGUGGGGACUCAUAGGAGACUGCCGGGGUUAACUCGGAGGAAGGUGGGGAUGACGUCAAAUCAUCAUGCCCCUUAUGUCUUGGGCUUCACGCAUGCUACAAUGGCCGGUACAAAGGGUUGCGAUACUGUGAGGUUGAGCUAAUCCCAAAAAGCCGGUCUCAGUUCGGAUUGGGGUCUGCAACUCGACCCCAUGAAGUCGGAGUCGCUAGUAAUCGCAGAUCAGCAACGCUGCGGUGAAUACGUUCCCGGGCCUUGUACACACCGCCCGUCAAGUCGUAGAAAUUCCAGGCCCCCCCAUGAAUAGGGGGAAAAGCGGAAUUCGGCACCCAAGUUCCUUGGUCUCCCAGUGUAUUUGUGUCUCCCCAGGAGGGCUUGUCAGGAUACUUGCAGCUCAGAGCCCUGCUCGGGUUGGAAUAUUCAUUUCACCCGCUCACAGAAAUUCCAAUCUCCCCUUGCGUAGUGGGGCCAACUGCAAACCCGGUUAAGGGCCCGGGCUUUCACAGCAGACGCGACAAACCGCCUACAAGCUCUUUACGCCCAAUAAUUCCGGACAACGCUUGCGCCUACUUACCGCGGCUGCUGGCACGUAGUUAGCCGGCGCUUCUUCUGCAGGUACCGUCACUUUCGCUUCUCCCCUGCUGAAAGAGGUUUACAACCCGAAGGCCGUCAUCCCUCACGCGGCGUCGCUGCAUCAGGCUUGCGCCCAUUGUGCAAUAUUCCCCACUGCUGCCUCCCGUAGGAGUCUGGGCCGUGUCUCAGUCCCAGUGUGGCCGGUCACCCUCUCAGGCCGGCUACCCGUCGUCGCCUUGGUGAGCCGUUACCUCACCAACAAGCUGAUAGGCCGUGAGCCCAUCUAAAACCAGUACAAAAUCCCUUUCCACCAACACCUCAUGCGAAGGUUGGUCGUAUCCGGUAUUAGACCCCGUUUCCAAGGCUUAUCCCAGAGUUAAAGGCAGGUUACUCACGUAUUACUCACCCGUUCCUAAUGACGUCCUGCCGGAAACC